RNAcentral lists this ribosomal RNA (405 nucleotides) under uncultured bacterium. RNAcentral's name for it is "bacterial SSU rRNA". It matches the Rfam family "Bacterial small subunit ribosomal RNA", at positions 355 to 774 of the family's 1533-position model. The record is from RNAcentral.
UGGGGAAUUUUGGACAAUGGGGGCGACCCUGAUCCAGCAACGAUGCGUGGAGGACGAAGGUUUUCGGAUUGUAAACUCCUUUUGAGAGGGAAGAAAAAAAUGACGGUACCUCUCGAAUAAGCCACGGCUAACUACGUGCCAGCAGCCGCGGUAAGACGUAGGUGGCAAGCGUUACUCGGAAUUACUAGGCGUAAAGCGCGCGUAGGCGGAAUGUUAAGUUUGGUGUGAAAACUAUUGGCUCAACCAAUAGAUUGCACUCAAAACUACUUUUCUUGAGUGAAGUAGAGGCAGGCGGAAUUCCUAGUGUAGCGGUGAAAUGCGUAGAUAUUAGGAGGAACACCAGUGGCGAAGGCGGCCUGCUGGGCUUUUACUGACGCUGAGGCUCGAAAGUGUGGGUAGCAAACA